GUUUUGGUCCUAGACUCACCGUUAUUUUUUACUCUACUUACACAUGCAAGUAUCCACAGACCAGUGCCCAAACCCACCAGCCUAUUACAUAUUAGACCUGGAGCUGGUAUCAGGCACGCACUAAUGCAGCCCACAACACCUAGCCUUGCCACACCCCCACGGACCUCAGCAGUGACAAACAUUAAGCAAUAAGCCUAAACUUGACUUAGCCACAGUAAUCAUGGAGCCGGUAAAUUCCGUGCCAGCCACCGCGGUUACACGGAAGGCCAAAAAUAACCACAUACGGCGUAAAACGUGACUAGAUUUAAGUUAAAUACAAGAAGUUGAAACCCAAAUUAAAGCUGUAAAAUAAUAAUAUUUAAAAGAACCCCCACUAAACUUCAUGUAUUUUAACCACUUUGACCACACGAAAGCUAGGACCCAAACUAGGAUUAGAUACCCUACUAUGCCUAGCUGUAAACCCAGGCAUUCAGCCCGCCAGAGAAUUACGAGUGAAAAACUCAAAACUCAAAGGACUUGACGGUGUCCCACACCAACCUAGAGGAGCCUGUCCUAUAAUCGAUACCCCACGCUAAACCUCCCCCCACCUAGAAUAACCAGCCUAUAUACCGCCGUCACCAGCCUACCUACCAACAGAAACUAAAGUAAGCACAAAAGUAUUCACUACUAAUACGUCAGGUCAAGGUGUAGCUAACGGUGGGGCAGAGAUGGGCUACAUUUUCUAACCACCAGAAAUCCCACCGUAGGUUAUAUGAAAUAUCAAACUGAAAGGCGGAUUUAGCAGUAAAUUUGGACAAGUAGAGCCCAAUUGAAACCAGCCCUGGGACGCGUACACACCGCCCGUCACCCUCCUCAACACCAAAUAAAACCAAUACAUAAAUCACAACAACACCAUCAGAUGAGGCAAGUCGUAACAUGGUAAGCCCACCGGAAGGUGGGCUUGGCCCA
RNAcentral lists this non-coding RNA (948 nucleotides) under Phyllopezus pollicaris. Its description in RNAcentral is "12S ribosomal RNA". It matches the Rfam family "Bacterial small subunit ribosomal RNA". The record is from RNAcentral. Lineage: Eukaryota; Metazoa; Chordata; Lepidosauria; Squamata; Phyllodactylidae.